GACGAACGCUGGCGGCGUGCCUAAUACAUGCAAGUUGAGCGCUGAAGGUUGGUACUUGUACCAACUGGAUGAGCAGCGAACGGGUGAGUAACGCGUGGGGAAUCUGCCUUUGAGCGGGGGACAACAUUUGGAAACGAAUGCUAAUACCGCAUAAAAACUUUAAACACAAGUUUUAAGUUUGAAAGAUGCAAUUGCAUCACUCAAAGAUGAUCCCGCGUUGUAUUAGCUAGUUGGUGAGGUAAAGGCUCACCAAGGCGAUGAUACAUAGCCGACCUGAGAGGGUGAUCGGCCACAUUGGGACUGAGACACGGCCCAAACUCCUACGGGAGGCAGCAGUAGGGAAUCUUCGGCAAUGGACGAAAGUCUGACCGAGCAACGCCGCGUGAGUGAAGAAGGGUUUCGGAUCGUAAAACUCUGUUGGUAGAGAAGAACGUUGGUGAGAGCGGAAGGCUCAUCAAGUGACGGUAACUACCCAGAAAGGGACGGCUAACUACGUG
This 497-nucleotide ribosomal RNA is filed under the name uncultured bacterium. RNAcentral's name for it is "partial 16S ribosomal RNA". It matches the Rfam family "Bacterial small subunit ribosomal RNA", at positions 28 to 507 of the family's 1533-position model. The record is from RNAcentral.